GUCUUGCGGAGUAUCCUUCCCAAGUUGCAGUAACCAGCGUGGAUGUGAAGGGACACGACAGUUCCUCUGCUGUACCAUGGGCGACCUACUUGUGAGGUGGACCUGAACCUCCGCCAUGUAGCAGACACCCCCCUCAGGUUUUGCGGAGUAUCCUUUCCAAGUUGCAGAAACCAGCGUGGAUGUGAAGGGACACGACAGUUCCCCUGCUGUUCCAUGGGCGACCUACUUGUGAUGUGGACCUGAACCUCCGCCAUGUAGCAGACACACCCCCUCAGGUCUUGCGGAAUAUCCUUCCCAAGUUGCAGUAACCAGCGUGGAUGUGAAGGGACACGACAGUUCCCCUGCUGUACCAUGGGCGACCUACUUGUGAUGUUGGCCUGAACCUCCGGCAUGUAGCAGACACCCCCCCUCAGGUCUUGCGGAGCAUCCUUCCCAAGUUGCAGUAACCAGCGUGGAUGUGAAGGGACACGACAGUUCCCCUGCUGUUCCAUGGGCGACCUACUUGUGAUGUGGACCUGAACCUCCGCCAUGUAGCAGACACCCCCC
Molecule: long non-coding RNA, 546 nt
Organism: Pseudophryne corroboree (corroboree frog)
Lineage: Eukaryota; Metazoa; Chordata; Amphibia; Anura; Myobatrachidae
Exons: 4
Source: RefSeq, a predicted model, not a curated record